This is a long non-coding RNA of Dalotia coriaria, 1150 nucleotides long. RefSeq lists it as uncharacterized. The record is from RefSeq and is a predicted model, not a curated record. NCBI's taxonomy places the organism in Eukaryota, Metazoa, Arthropoda, Insecta, Coleoptera, Staphylinidae. The transcript is spliced from 3 exons.
GAGUUUCGACGCGAGAAUAAUUCAAGUUUCUAAAUUACAUUGCUACGUAAAAAAACUAAAUUUAAAAGAAUAAUAAACUGAUUUAUAUAAAUUCAAUCUCGAAUCUUUAGCGUACCCUAAAUUUCUGAAUGUAGUUUGAAUAAAUAAUUGAAUACGACGUUCUUACGUCUAUUGCUAUUGCCAACAGUUCAUUAAAACUUUAUUCACAAAGAUAUUGUAGGUUAAAGAUUUUAGAUUGAACUUAAAUUAAUCAAUUCAAUUUUAUUCAACAUAUAUUGAAUCUUGAAAUAUUCUGGUUGGCGGAGAAAAUACUCACGGCGAACUGUCAUGUUCUCCUAACAUACAAAACCGUCAGUUCGUGCCGUCAGCCCUGCGGUAUAAGGUUGUGUAAUCUGUGCACAUAGGUUAUAAACUACUGUCUGAGCACAACUAAUAUAAAUGUUAUAAAUAUAUUUUAGUAGCGAGGACCGCGUUCAAAAGCUUAUGUUGCAAAAGUACUGCUGGGCACAGCAUUAGGGCUUCAUUUUGGUAUCUACUUUGUUAAGCCAUUUCUUCUACCAAAGCCACCGCCUGCAGGACAUAACGGGAAUAUAUCCAAUUCUCGCCAAAAUUAACUAAGGUUUAUUAUGCAUAUUCGCAGACCCCGCGGCCUUACUGGAAUCCAAAUUGGUUUGGCAACUGUGCUAGGCAUUGCAGGCGGUAUCUACAUUUGGCAGCCACUUUUUAAACAAUUUACUGCUCCAGGUGACAACCAGUCAGUUAAGGGGACUACAGAUAAGUAAUUAAAAUGUCUUACAAGAAAUGGGUGGCUAGACAGAAAGGAAAUCCACUCUUGCUUGGUGUUGCUGCACUUGGAUUUAUCACAGGCUCUCUACUUGUAUACAGAGGUGUAAUAAAUCCAUGGUUUAAGAAGAGAAGGCUGGAGGAAAAUGAAAGAUAUGCACAAAUUAUUAUUCAGAAGGAUAAGGGCCGACAACAGCAAACUUAAUGAAUGUCCACUUCACCUUCUUUAUAAAUAGAUUGCAUUUAUAGAAAAAAUAUUUGUUAGAUUUUAAUGUUUCAUUGUUAAAAUAAAAUCAAACAUGAAACACUGGAUUGUUAUCUAGAUGUUUUUUUAUUUAGCAUUCUAAUAAACAUGGGUAAUAUGUAA